GUCAUUUCACGGUAACGGCGUGAAUUCAUUUUAUCUUCUCCCUCUCACCCAGUUUCAUCUCAAAACCUUCAGACAACCCAGCGCCACCGUUCCACCAUCAAUUUCCGGCACCGCCAAAUCCGGCCACCGGACACCUCUCCACACUCCUCUAACCCUUUCCCCCACAACAAUUUCGCCGAAACCUCCACUACCCAACAGAUUCUUAUGUUGGAACCUACUCCGUUUCCUAAUCGAUAAACCAGGUGUUGAACGGGUCGUGGUGAUGUUGCUUUUCGUUUUCAUUGGUAAUGAAUGGCAAACAUCGACCUUUUUCACCAACUCUAUAAAGGUUUAUUUGAUUUUGGUGUUUUAUAGCUGAUGAAAUCCUGCACACCAGGUGUUCGAUGAAAUUUUAGGUUUUUUCUUCUAUUUUUUUAUGUUGGUCUGUGUAUUGUUUAGGCAGAACAGAUUGCAUUUAUAAACUCUUGGUAAUGUGUGAUGUUUGAAUCAGUGACUUGCAAAAGUGAACAUGUUGAAUGGUGUAUAAUAACAACUGAAAGUGUUUUGUAUGACAACUAAAAUGUUGAUGUGUUUAUCUAAAAUAAGUAAGUGAACAUGCUCAAUCGGAUUUCAAUUCCAGCAUACCUUCAUAUCGUUCAUCUAAAAUAAGUAAAGAUCCAUCGCCACUUCCCCGUCGCUGGUUCCGACUACCACGCCGUCAGCCGUCUUCCCCAACCACACCGGAACCACUACGCACCACCGUUCGCCCUCACCUUCGCUGCCGGUCUCCGACAUCAGAUGGAUAUUAAGUUAUCUUUUACUUUAGACUGGAUAUUAAGUUAGUUUCAGUUGAAUAAUGCUGCAGAUGCAGAGGUUCUACCGUACCGAAUAGGAUAUACAUACACAUUUCCAAACUCGGGUUAUUGUUGGUUUUGACCACGCGAAUCAUGGAGCUUUUUAAUUCGCCACACACCUUCGCUAUGACACUGUCUCAGGUCUUAAGUUGUGCUUAGCCUUUUAAGGCUUACCUGUUGACAGAAGGGGGUGGAGACGGUGGUUCCACUGCGUCUGCUCCGCCACUGCACCGAUGUGUAAACCAGCUGCCUCUCAAAAGCGAGGAACUCUCUGGUGAUGCCAGUAACGUUCCGGCGAACCUAGGGUUCCGCCAUGACCUUAUAUGGCGGCGGCGUUGAUGGUGUUCUGAGUAACCAGCACCGAUGGUUAACGGAUUCAACAGAGAUGAAGACGACUGCCAUACGAGUUAGCUGACAUAUUUUCCGGCGUUUAAGCGGCAGAGAGAAGAUGCUAGGGUUCCGGUGAAGGUCCGGCAAAGUUCCGGUACCCUAAUUCAGAUGUACGCCUUCUACCUACAGUUAGGUAAGGGUCAUAUGGCUCUUAAACCGGUGAUAUUUGUUGAUUCAGUAACCGUAGGUGCUUCGCUACCGAUUUAGAGUCUCUGGCGAUUCAGUAACUGUAGGUGCUCCACUUACCGAUUUAGAGUCUCUGGCGAGUUCCACACGAGUGUAUCGAUAACCACAAAGGUGCUGAAAGAAUCCCUGCGUUGAGGGAAACGGUUAUAAAAUGCAAUAUAUAUAACUUUAAUUUUGCAUACACUCAUCUCUUUUAACAAGCGAUGAUGGUGUCCUACCUGCCAAGGCAACUUCGGUUGCAGCCAUGGCGGCACUGAGCUGCGCUUUGUUGGCGAUGACAAUGAGGAAUUGUGCAUCUGAAUAUGUUUGUUUUGCAAUUAGUAUCGUUAUUUAAUCAAAGUUGUCG
This 1755-nucleotide long non-coding RNA is filed under the name Helianthus annuus (common sunflower). RNAcentral describes it as "hypothetical non coding rna". The record is from RNAcentral. Lineage: Eukaryota; Viridiplantae; Streptophyta; Magnoliopsida; Asterales; Asteraceae.